UACGAAGGGGGCUAGCGUUGCUCGGAAUCACUGGGCGUAAAGGGCGCGUAGGCGGGAUGGCAAGUCGGUCGUGAAAUCCUUCGGCCCAACCGAAGAACGUCGGCCGAUACUGCCGUUCUUGAGGGAUGCAGAGGAGACUGGAAUUCCUGGUGUAGCGGUGAAAUGCGCAGAUAUCAGGAAGAACACCAAUGGCGAAAGCAGCUCUCUGGGACGGUACUGACGCUGAGACGCGAAAGCGUGGGGAGCGAACAGG
Molecule: ribosomal RNA, 253 nt
Filed under: uncultured bacterium
Lineage: Bacteria
Description: partial 16S ribosomal RNA
Rfam family: Bacterial small subunit ribosomal RNA
Source: RNAcentral